RNAcentral lists this long non-coding RNA (210 nucleotides) under Prunus dulcis (almond). Its description in RNAcentral is "sRNA ncRNA". The record is from RNAcentral. Lineage: Eukaryota; Viridiplantae; Streptophyta; Magnoliopsida; Rosales; Rosaceae.
AUGAUUUUGAUCCUAUCCCCUUUUAAUUUUGCUUUUGUUUCGGUCGUAACUCAUAAUCAUAAUGGAAGGCUUAAUUAUAAUGUUCAAUUACAAUCUCAAUCAUUUGCUUGUUCUCUAAAGUUCACACACUCUCCCGACCCGUCUUAAAAUCUUUUACUUAUACUAUUCCCAUUGGAUGACAUUCUUAAUCCCCCCUCUCAACUGCAUUAA